Molecule: ribosomal RNA, 164 nt
Filed under: Pseudoroegneria libanotica
Lineage: Eukaryota; Viridiplantae; Streptophyta; Magnoliopsida; Poales; Poaceae
Description: Elymus libanoticus 5.8S ribosomal RNA
Rfam family: 5.8S ribosomal RNA
About the family: 5.8S ribosomal RNA (5.8S rRNA) is a component of the large subunit of the eukaryotic ribosome.
Source: RNAcentral
CACACGACUCUCGGCAACGGAUAUUUCGGCUCUCGCAUCGAUGAAGAACGUAGCGAAAUGCGAUACCUGGUGUGAAUUGCAGAAUCCCGCGAACCAUCGAGUCUUUGAACGCAAGUUGCGCCCGAGGCCACUCGGCCGAGGGCACGCCUGCCUGGGCGUCACGC